GACGAACGCUGGCGGCGUGCCUAAUACAUGCAAGUAGAACGCUGAAGAGAGGAGCUUGCUCUUCUUGGAUGAGUUGCGAACGGGUGAGUAACGCGUAGGUAACCUGCCUGGUAGCGGGGGAUAACUAUUGGAAACGAUAGCUAAUACCGCAUAAAAUUGCUUAUCGCAUGAUAAUUAAUUGAAAGAUGCAAUUGCAUCACUACCAGAUGGACCUGCGUUGUAUUAGCUAGUUGGUGAGGUAACGGCUCACCAAGGCGACGAUACAUAGCCGACCUGAGAGGGUGAUCGGCCACACUGGGACUGAGACACGGCCCAGACUCCUACGGGAGGCAGCAGUAGGGAAUCUUCGGCAAUUGGGGGGAACCCUGACCGAGC
RNAcentral lists this ribosomal RNA (375 nucleotides) under Streptococcus sanguinis. RNAcentral's name for it is "bacterial SSU rRNA". It matches the Rfam family "Bacterial small subunit ribosomal RNA", at positions 28 to 392 of the family's 1533-position model. The record is from RNAcentral. Lineage: Bacteria; Bacillati; Bacillota; Bacilli; Lactobacillales; Streptococcaceae.